AAAACGGUCCUUUUCAGGACCACUGAAUGGUUCCAUUGAAGAACUUU
Anopheles christyi is the source of this 47-nucleotide non-coding RNA. The record is from Rfam. NCBI's taxonomy places the organism in Eukaryota, Metazoa, Arthropoda, Insecta, Diptera, Culicidae.